RNAcentral lists this ribosomal RNA (1007 nucleotides) under Enterococcus lactis. RNAcentral describes it as "bacterial SSU rRNA". It matches the Rfam family "Bacterial small subunit ribosomal RNA", at positions 41 to 1016 of the family's 1533-position model. Lineage: Bacteria; Bacillati; Bacillota; Bacilli; Lactobacillales; Enterococcaceae. The record is from RNAcentral.
GGGGGGGCUGCUAUAAUGCGAGUCGUACGCUUCUUUUUCCACCGGAGCUUGCUCCACCGGAAAAAGAAGAGUGGCGAACGGGUGAGUAACACGUGGGUAACCUGCCCAUCAGAAGGGGAUAACACUUGGAAACAGGUGCUAAUACCGUAUAACAAUCGAAACCGCAUGGUUUUGAUUUGAAAGGCGCUUUCGGGUGUCGCUGAUGGAUGGACCCGCGGUGCAUUAGCUAGUUGGUGAGGUAACGGCUCACCAAGGCCACGAUGCAUAGCCGACCUGAGAGGGUGAUCGGCCACAUUGGGACUGAGACACGGCCCAAACUCCUACGGGAGGCAGCAGUAGGGAAUCUUCGGCAAUGGACGAAAGUCUGACCGAGCAACGCCGCGUGAGUGAAGAAGGUUUUCGGAUCGUAAAACUCUGUUGUUAGAGAAGAACAAGGAUGAGAGUAACUGUUCAUCCCUUGACGGUAUCUAACCAGAAAGCCACGGCUAACUACGUGCCAGCAGCCGCGGUAAUACGUAGGUGGCAAGCGUUGUCCGGAUUUAUUGGGCGUAAAGCGAGCGCAGGCGGUUUCUUAAGUCUGAUGUGAAAGCCCCCGGCUCAACCGGGGAGGGUCAUUGGAAACUGGGAGACUUGAGUGCAGAAGAGGAGAGUGGAAUUCCAUGUGUAGCGGUGAAAUGCGUAGAUAUAUGGAGGAACACCAGUGGCGAAGGCGGCUCUCUGGUCUGUAACUGACGCUGAGGCUCGAAAGCGUGGGGAGCAAACAGGAUUAGAUACCCUGGUAGUCCACGCCGUAAACGAUGAGUGCUAAGUGUUGGAGGGUUUCCGCCCUUCAGUGCUGCAGCUAACGCAUUAAGCACUCCGCCUGGGGAGUACGACCGCAAGGUUGAAACUCAAAGGAAUUGACGGGGGCCCGCACAAGCGGUGGAGCAUGUGGUUUAAUUCGAAGCAACGCGAAGAACCCUUACCAGGUCUUGACAUCCUUUGACCACUCUAGAAAAUAGGAGCCU